Molecule: non-coding RNA, 82 nt
Organism: Candidatus Pacearchaeota archaeon CG1_02_30_18
Lineage: Archaea; Nanobdellati
Source: Rfam
GCCUCGGUCGCAUAGUGGUUAUUGCACCGGAUUGCUAAUCCGGGCCCUUCGGGGCUCGCAGGUUCAAUUCCUGCCCGAGGCG